This 429-nucleotide ribosomal RNA is filed under the name Bacteroidota bacterium. RNAcentral describes it as "Bacteroidetes bacterium partial 16S ribosomal RNA". It matches the Rfam family "Bacterial small subunit ribosomal RNA", at positions 355 to 776 of the family's 1533-position model. The record is from RNAcentral. Lineage: Bacteria; Pseudomonadati; Bacteroidota.
UAGGGAAUCUUCCGCAAUGGACGCAAGUCUGACGGAGCAACGCCGCGUGAGUGAAGAAGGAUUUCGGUUCGUAAAACUCUGUUGUUAGAGAAGAACAGCGCAUAGAGUAACUGUUAUGCGUGUGACGGUAUCUAACCAGAAAGCCACGGCUAAUUACGUGCCAGCAGCCGCGGUAAUACGUAGGUGGCAAGCGUUGUCCGGAUUUAUUGGGCGUAAAGCGAGCGCAGGCGGUCAAUUAAGUCUGAUGUGAAAGCCCCCGGCUCAACCGGGGAGGGUCAUUGGAAACUGGUUGACUUGAGUGCAGAAGAGGAGAGUGGAAUUCCAUGUGUAGCGGUGAAAUGCGUAGAUAUAUGGAGGAACACCAGUGGCGAAGGCGACUCUCUGGUCUGUAACUGACGCUGAGGCUCGAAAGCGUGGGUAGCAAACAGG